This is a non-coding RNA of Cordylochernes scorpioides, 65 nucleotides long. The record is from the annotation of a GenBank genome assembly. Lineage: Eukaryota; Metazoa; Arthropoda; Arachnida; Pseudoscorpiones; Chernetidae.
UGAAUUGCGGGAUUCGAACCCGGGUCGUAUCUAUCUAAAAUCGAUGAUCUAUACCACUCGGCCAC